UGGGGAAUAUUGCACAAUGGGCGCAAGCCUGAUGCAGCCAUGCCGCGUGUGUGAAGAAGGCCUUCGGGUUGUAAAGCACUUUCAGCGGGGAGGAGGGCGUUAAGGUUAAUAACCUUGGCGAUUGACGUUACCCGCAGAAGAAGCACCGGCUAACUCCGUGCCAGCAGCCGCGGUAAUACGGAGGGUGCAAGCGUUAAUCGGAAUUACUGGGCGUAAAGCGCACGCAGGCGGUCUGUCAAGUCGGAUGUGAAAUCCCCGGGCUCAACCUGGGAACUGCAUUCGAAACUGGCAGGCUAGAGUCUUGUAGAGGGGGGUAGAAUUCCAGGUGUAGCGGUGAAAUGCGUAGAGAUCUGGAGGAAUACCGGUGGCGAAGGCGGCCCCCUGGACAAAGACUGACGCUCAGGUGCGAAAGCGUGGGGAGCAAACAGG
RNAcentral lists this ribosomal RNA (429 nucleotides) under Chloroflexota bacterium. Its description in RNAcentral is "Chloroflexi bacterium partial 16S ribosomal RNA". It matches the Rfam family "Bacterial small subunit ribosomal RNA", at positions 355 to 776 of the family's 1533-position model. The record is from RNAcentral. Lineage: Bacteria; Bacillati; Chloroflexota.